UGAAUAAUAAGCAGAUAAACA
RNAcentral lists this non-coding RNA (21 nucleotides) under Caenorhabditis elegans. The record is from RNAcentral. Lineage: Eukaryota; Metazoa; Nematoda; Chromadorea; Rhabditida; Rhabditidae.